AGAGAAUUGCUUGAACCUGGGAGGCAGAAGUUGCAGUGAGCUGAGAUUGCGCCACUGCACUCUAGCCCAGGCAACAGUG
This 79-nucleotide small nuclear RNA is filed under the name Homo sapiens (human). RNAcentral describes it as "partial ncRNA". Lineage: Eukaryota; Metazoa; Chordata; Mammalia; Primates; Hominidae. The record is from RNAcentral.